CACGGUGCAUCACUGAAAGGAAAGAAUUUUAGUUGGUACUCGCAACAAACUGAAGAGCAAGAAGAUAGGUCCUUUUCGAAUUCUUAAGCGCUGUGGUGAUAACGCUACCAGCUUGAUCUACCAGCAGAUUUGCAAAAUUCCUCUACCUCCAACAUCGCUGAUCUCCACAAAUAUAAUACUUUAGAUGCUUUUCUAACUUCUUCCUCUUUCCUCAUGGUCAAGUUUUCUCAAGGUGAGAGAGAAUAAUGUGGAACUUGAGACCAGAAGCUUUGUGGUCUGUGAUUUAAUUGCUACAACUUGAGCUUCAUAAUUUGGAACUAGGGAUUGUAAUGUUACCAUUGGUUUACUUUCAAAUUCAGUGGCACGGGUGUAGUUUUGUUUGUUAGUUCGUAGUUUUGUUUUUAAUCAAAAUGAUUUGUUUUGUAUUAGCUUGGUUAUCAAGCAGAGAAGGCCACGAGGCUAUGUUAGUUAUGGUGUUCUUGAGCUCAAUCAAGCACCCGUGUCAUUUAAAAGAUUUACCGUUGGUUGUAGGCAGCCACAUCAAUAAUUGAGGUAGUAACCAUGAUUGUACUGAACCAUUACAGAAUUCAACCAGGUCAGUAAUCAAAAUCUCCAAUAAAAAUACAUUCUUGAGUUGAGAGUAGACCUGGCCUUUGAAUGGAAUGGAAGCAAGAAUUCUGUCAAAAGCACGUUGUCAAUCAGUCAUGACCAAAACCAAAUAAUCCCUGUCAUAAGCAUCUCUAACCCGGAAGAGAGGUGGGCAAAUGUAAAUUUAAUUUUUCCGUCUAUAACAAAAUCUAGUGGUUGGUUACUUAGAAAUUUUAGUUAAACAAAACGUCAAAAUUAUCAAACUUUUUUUUCUUUACAUUUUAUCUUAGUAAUAAUUCCAGUUAAACAAAACGUCAAAGUUAUCAAACUUUCUUUUCUUUACAUUUUAUACCAUUAUUGCUUUGUUGAGACAGGAAACAGAAGCAACCCACUCCAAUUGAGGCCAAAAUAGUUGAACUAAUAGGGAAAAUACAUCCAUAACUUGGAAAAGAAAAAUAAAAAGAUCCAAAACAGACUCUAAUUAGCCGAACACUGAAGUUGAACAGAGUGAUCCACAAACAAACAGAGAAAAAAAUUAUUAAUUUAUGAAAAUUAUGGUUUUGAUUAGUUUUUACCUUGCCUCUGCUUUGGGAUUUGAGACCAGGAACCGCAAGGUGCAAAUUGGUUUCCGAAAUAUCAAAAUAAACAAAAUAAAUAAAAAUGGGAAAUAAGCGAUUUGUUUGGUUCUCAAAAUUUGAGCCAAAAAAAGAGGAAAAAAAAAAAAAAAGUGUGUGAAAAAGUAGAAAGCAGCCAACUUUUAGUCCGUGAUAGCUUAUUAUAAACCAUCUAUUGCCGAGCCCCCAUGGUGCGAACAGAGAGGGCUAAUGGUUGACCAUUAAACGGUGGUUCAGUCGCCGCCGAUGUGCCAUUUGAAAGAGAAAGCAAAAAAGCGUAGAGGGAGAGAAGAAACGUAGAGAGCGAUAGAGUGAGAGACGAUGAGUUCGCUUAUAAAUUAGGAAAAAAUAAAUUAGAAUCCCUGCUCCUUGAUAAUUUUCCCGCGGAAGUGUGAGAAAAAAAUUGGACAGUAUUUUUGUAAUAUAUUUUCUUUCUAAGGGUUCUACGCUGUUGUUCUUGUUUCACAGCUUCUCCAAACCCAGAACUGAUGAAAAAGGACAAGCUGUCCAUCUCAUCCGCUUUCCAAUUUGUAUGCACUCCAAGAGUGUGGAAUUGGGGAUGGCUUAGAAGGACAUUGCAAGAUUGAAGAUUGCAGAUUUGAAAAGCAGACAUGGCUUUAUUAAAUAUUUAAUUUAGGAAUAAAAAUUGUUCUUACCAAAUAAAGAGGAUUGAUUAUAAAUACUGGGUGGUUACAAAAUGUUUGUGGUUCUGAUUUGUAAAGUUUAAAUAUUCAUAUGGUGGCCCUUUGGAGUUUGGAGGUUGUGUUAAGGAUUGGAUUCCAGAAGAAGGACCUUUAAUCCAAAUAUUACAUAGAUAUGUUUAAAUUUUGAUGGAUGGAGUGCUAUUACUACUUGCUAGUACUAUGAUUAGCAUGGUUUAUGAAAUUUUUCUUUAGAAUAUUUUUAGUGGUAAAGGUAUUGAAGGGCUAAUAUAGGGGCCAACUGUGUCUGCACUCCUACAGGGUUGCAUAUUAUUUUGUACUCUUUUCUCUUGCAGCAAACUCAAACUUUAGGUUUGUAUUUGUGAUGAAUGAGUGUAUCUUUGCAUUUUUCACGA
This is a long non-coding RNA of Ziziphus jujuba (common jujube), 2259 nucleotides long. RefSeq lists it as uncharacterized. The record is from RefSeq and is a predicted model, not a curated record. The transcript is spliced from 2 exons. Lineage: Eukaryota; Viridiplantae; Streptophyta; Magnoliopsida; Rosales; Rhamnaceae.